GAAGGGUGCAAGCGUUAAUCGGAAUUACUGGGCGUAAAGCGUGCGUAGGCGGUGAGUUAAGUCUGUUGUGAAAUCCCCGGGCUCAACCUGGGAAUGGCAAUGGAUACUGGCUCGCUAGAGUGUGAUAGAGGAUGGUGGAAUUCCCGGUGUAGCGGUGAAAUGCGUAGAGAUCGGGAGGAACAUCAGUGGCGAAGGCGGCCAUCUGGAUCAACACUGACGCUGAGGCACGAAAGCGUGGGGAGCAAACAGGAUUAGAUACCCAGGUAGUCCACGCCCUAAACGAUGCGAACUGGAUGUUGGUCUCAACUCGGAGAUCAGUGUCGAAGCUAACGCGUUAAGUUCGCCGCCUGGGGAGUACGGUCGCAAGACUG
Molecule: ribosomal RNA, 371 nt
Filed under: uncultured bacterium
Lineage: Bacteria
Description: bacterial SSU rRNA
Rfam family: Bacterial small subunit ribosomal RNA
Source: RNAcentral